This 4881-nucleotide long non-coding RNA is filed under the name Manihot esculenta (cassava). Its description in RNAcentral is "long non-coding RNA (MESC_LNC001159)". Lineage: Eukaryota; Viridiplantae; Streptophyta; Magnoliopsida; Malpighiales; Euphorbiaceae. The record is from RNAcentral.
GUAUAUAUAAAGCAACCUUCUGGUUUUGUUACUCAAGGGGAGUCAAGCAAAGUUUACUAACUUCACAAACCAUUUUAUAGCCUAAAGCAAAAUUCUAGGCUUUGCCUGGAAGAUUUAGUGAGGUAGGAUUGGAAUUUGGUAUGCAAAGAGAAAUUGUAAUCACUCAUUGUUCUAUAAAUAGUUUGAAGAAGUUUAAUUUUGUUAGUGGUAUAUGUGGAUGACAUUGAUAUCAUUGAAGCAACUUUGUAGGUAUUCAUCUCUUGAGUCCUUUCUCCAAACUUAGUUUCAGAAUAAGGACUUGGAACUCUAGAAGUAUUAUUGGGCAUUGAGAUUACAAGGACCAACAAAGGAAUAUUUUUAUAUUAGAUUAUAUAUAUCCUUGAUUAUUGGCAAAAAUAGGGUAGUUGGGUGCUAAGUCUAAUAGUGCACAAUGAUUCCAAAUUUAUAACUUACAAUAGAGGGUGGUGGGUUGUUUGGUUUUGUGAAAUACAGGAGAUUGGUGGGCAAGUUGAAUUACUUUACAAUAACUCAUUUUGUUAUUGCAGAUUCAUCAGUGUGUUAAGUUAAUUUAUGUUUUCCCCUACUGCUUCUCAUUGGAAAGCUCUAGGAAAAAUCGUGUGCUACUUGAAGGAAGCUCCAGGACGAGCCUACUAUAUAAAAAUAAUGGACUUCUAAGUGUUUAAUGGGUUUCGGAUGUAGAUUGGGUAGGAUUUAAGGCUGGUGAGAAAUCAUCUAGAGGUUGUUACGUAUCAGAGAAAAAGGUAUAAGAAUAGGGCUGGGUAAGCACUGUAAUUGGAGGGAAAAGUUGUUAGAGAUAGUUAUACCUGCUGAAGUAGUUAGAGCAGUUAUUUUAGGAGAGAAAUCUUGUAUAAAAGGGGGCUGAAACUAUGUACAGAGGCAUUGAGAAUUCUUGAAGAGUCAUUAAUAAUUCUCUCAUUCGUUCUCUCUCUCGCUCUCUCUUUCUCUCUCUCUCCCCUCUCAUCUCCUUGUCUCCUCUCUGUUCCUAUUCUUCUAUCUCUCUUUCUAUUUUCUCUUUUCACAAUAUUCUGAGUUAGGGCUUCUACCUAACAUUGGUAUCAGAGCAGGUUUGAAGGUGGGCAUCGAUUGCAAACUGGUUUUUGAAGAUUGCAAGAAUGGCAGGAUCAGUGGUGGUGGGGCCGGACGCUGCAAAUUGGCGGAAUUGGAAGAUCUAGUCAGAAUUCUCCACGGCGAUUCUUGCAACACAUGGAAAGAUGUAGAAAGAGUAAGAGUGGAUCUUAAAUUGCAAGAAGAAGUUGGUAGAGUAAACAAGAGUAUUGCAGAAUCAAGGCAAUCCAUCGUUGAAGAAUUGACUGCUGUUAUGGCAAAAAUGUGGGCUACUCAGGGUAAAGAAAGUGGUUCUGUUGAGAAAGAAUUGAUGAGAAGUGGGGAAAAUAACAAUCUUGGAAGUAAAAUUCCACAGGGAUCUUGGGGAAGGAAAUAUUACCAGUUCCAAAGGAAUCGGGGGUUGGUCGGGAUGGAGAUGCCAACAGCUCCACUUCUUUGGAGAAUUCGAAACUCGAAAGGAUGCUGCCAAAGAUUGAGUUGAUUACUUUUGAAGGGGUGACCCAAGGGUUUGGCUUAGGAAUGCAACAAAUACUUUGAAGUUUAUGAGGUGCCAAAUAAAAAAAAAGGUAAGCAUAGCAAGCCUUUAUUUGAUGGGUAAGGCCGAUUCUUGGUACCAUAACUGGGUUAGAGGAAGAAGGAAUCAGUCUUGGGAAGAAUUUGAGGCUGAUCUAUGUAGAAGGUUUGGAGAGAAAGGAUUAGAAGAUGUUGAAGAAUUUAUGAAAAUGAGACAAGAAGGGUUCGUAGGGGAUUACCAAGAUAAGUUUGAGGAUAUAAGGGUGAGGAUGGAAAGAUUUGCACCUGCUUUGGAGGAAAAUUACUUCUUGUCAGGAUUCAUUGGAGGCCUUAGGGAUGAAAUCAGACCUAUGGUAAGAAUGUUGAGACCUACCAAUCUUGCUCAUGCAUUUGAGAUUGCAAGGUUGCAAGAGCAGCUGCUGCACAACAAUGGGAAACCUGCCCUAGCCUCAAAACCCACAUUCACCUUCUAUAAAAAUACUUCCAAUUCCAAUACCAUUAACCCUCAAUCGCUAACUUAUAAAACUGCUCAGCUACACCAUAAUUUUCUCUACACCACCAAACCCCCAAAUGAGAGCACAAUCUCCAAAAGUGCCUCAAAUGUCCCUACUAAACCUUACUCCGCUACUAGUACUAACUCCGUAAACCAAACCUCCACCAAACCAAGCAAUACGAAUCUUGUAAACACUACUAAGCUCUCAAGACCUUGCUAUAGAUGUGGGGAUAAGUUUUUUCUAGGGCACCAAUGCAAGGCUAAAGCCGUCAUGACAUUGCAAAUAGAAGAGCAAGGUAAGGAAAGUAGUGAUGAGUAUAUGGAGGAAGGGUUAAUAGAAGAAGUACUAGAAAUGGGACAGACAGAAGCUGAAAUGACAUUGUCUGUCCAUGCCAUUGAAGGUAGCCAGGGAGAGGACACCAUUAAAGUCCUCGAAAGGUAUAAGGAUAGACAAUUAGUGAUUUUAGUGGAUAGUGGAAGCAAUAAUACUUUCUUGGAUAAAAGGGUUGCCCAAGAAUUAAAGAUUCCUCUAGUACAAAUUCCUCCUGCUGUGGUUAAAGUUGCUGAUGGGAGACAAAUAAUGAGUUGCACUAUGUGUUCUGAAUUUCAAUGGCAGGCACAACAACGCUUAUUCUCUUUUCCUAUGAGAAUAUUGGAUUUGGGGGGUUUUGACAUGACAUUGGGGGUAGAUUGGAUGAAGAGUGUUAAUCCAGUAUUAUUGCACAACAACACUUAUUCUCUUUUCCUAUGAGAAUAUUGGAUUUGGGGGGUUUUGACAUGAUAUUGGGGGUAGAUUGGAUGAAGAGUGUCAGUCCAGUAUUAUUUGAUUUGAAGGGCUACAAAUAUCAUUUCAAAAAGGAGGGAGAAGAGUCACCUUAAAAGGGGUUAAGGAGGAUUCUAAUACUGGUGAAGUUCGGGAAUGUAGCAAUCUUGACAAGCUUUUUCACAAACAAGGACUGGAUUUUCAAUCUCCAAUUUUUUGGGUGAAGUCACAACAAUCAGACCAUGCAAAUUACCCUACACUGUGCUUUACCUCCAAAGCCCUGAUAUGGAAUCCCAUGUGCAACAUUUUGAGGCUGUGUUCCAAGUUCUACAGAAACAGCAAUUGUUUGCAAAGAUGUCUAAAUGCUCUUUUGGGCAGAAUGGUGGUAUAAUUCUUCCUAUCAUAGUGCCAUGAAAAUGACACCAUUUGAGGCUUUAUAUGGAUAUUAUCCUCCUGCUCUGCUGGCUGUCCUACCAGCAGAAUCUCCAGUGCAAGCAGUAGCUGAGUUCUUCACUCAAAGGCAGCAUAUACAUGAUCUGCUUAAGUCCAACUUGGAGCAGGCCAGGAAUAGGAUGAAACAAGAAGCUGACAAGAGAAGAAGUGAGAGGGAAUUCCAAGGAGAUUGGAUAUACCUCAAAUUGCAGCCGUAUAGACAAACCUCAUGGGCACUAAGAAAGAAUUUAAAGUUGGCUGCCAAGUACUAUAGGCCUUACUAGGUGUUGAAAAGAGUGGGAAAAGUAGCAUACCAGCUUCAAUUGCCGGAAAACACUUCCAUACACCCUGUAUUCCAUGUAUUGUUACUCAAGAGGAAAUUGGGAGAUACCAUAGUACCUCAAACUCAAUUACCUACAAUGGUAGAGGAAGAAGUGCUGGUGGCUCCUGCUGUUGUACCCAAGACAAGGACUAUUGAAAGAGAUGGUCAAUCUGUUAACUAGGACCUAAUUCAAUAGACCAAUCUCACUACCGAGGAAGCCACAUGGGAAGAUAGGCCUUCAUCCAAGCUCAAUUCCCUGAGUUUCAGCAUCCUUGGGGACAAGAAUGCCUUAAUGGAGGAGGUAUUGUUACGUAUCAGAGAAAAAGGUAUAAGAAUAGGGCUGGGUAAGCACCGUAAUUGGAGGGAAAAGUUGUUAGAGAUAGUUAUAACUGCUGAAGUAGUUAGAGCAGUUAUUUUAGGAGAGAAAUCUUGUACAAAAGGGGGCUGAAACUAUGUACAGAGACAUUGAGAAUUCUUGAAGAGUCAUUAAUAAUUAUCUCCUUCGUUCUCUCUCUCUCUCUCUCUCAUCUCCUUAUCUCCUCUUUGUUCCUAUUCUUCUAUCUCUCUUUCUAUUUUCUCUUUUCACAAUAUUCUGACUUAGGGCUUCUACCUAAUAGAGGUACUUUCUUUUUCGGAGGUAAUAUGAUAUCGUGGAGAAAUAAGAAUUAGUGUAGUUUGUCGAUCCAGUGUUAAGUCAGAAUAUAUGGCCAUGGCAUAAUCGAUUUGCGAAGUAAUGUGGAUACUUUAGUUAUUCGAUUAGAUUAGCCUUAAGAUUUCACUACCUAAUAAGUUAUUGUAUGAAAAUCAAGCUUUUUCCCAUGUUGCUUCCAAUUCAAUGUUUCACGAGCGAGCUAAACACAGUGACAUAGCCUGUCAUUUUGUUUGUGAAAAGGUAUAACAAAGAGUCAUCUUAAGUUGACACAUCAAGACUGCUGAAGAAUUGGAGGUAUAUUUACAAAAGCCUUGAAUGGUGCUAAGGUUGGCUAUAUUUGUAACAAGUCGGCGUGGUUAACAUCUAUGCUCUAACUUAAGAGGCGAUGCUAAGGAAAGACAAAUCUUGCAAGUAUAUUUGAUUGUAUUCCUAAUUAGUUGCAUGAUUAUAGGAUUGCAUUUCUAAAUAGAUAGGAAUAAUUGUAUAUAAAUAUACUUGCAGUUUACUCUGAAAAAUAUAAGAAAAACGUGCUCCUUUCAUAGUUUGAUUCAAUGCAACACAUUCAUUUGAAUCCAUUGCUUUUGGUGAAAGCUAUGGUAUUAUUGUUAGGAGCAGGGAGU